Molecule: long non-coding RNA, 718 nt
Organism: Rhineura floridana
Lineage: Eukaryota; Metazoa; Chordata; Lepidosauria; Squamata; Rhineuridae
Exons: 2
Source: RefSeq, a predicted model, not a curated record
CUGCACUGGGAAGAGAUAGUGCCUUUCUAUGCAAUGUAGACAGGAAAAAGGGAAGGACAAUGAACUGCAAGCGACAGAGCUGCACACAGGGAAGCGAUGUGACCGUAGUUGAAGCAGAGAGGUCAUUCAGUACUCUGGCUCGUGUUACAUGGAGGAUACAUGGAAGAUAAUGCUGUCAGUGGCUAUUAGCCAUGAUGGCUAUGCUCUGCCUCCAUGGUUGGGGGCCGUAUGCUUCUGAAUACCUGUUGUUGGAAAUCACAGGAAAGGAGAGUGCUGUUGCACUCAGGUUCUGCUUCUGUGCUUCCUAUAAUGAGCAUCUGGGUGGCCGCUGUGAGAACAGAAUGCUGAACUAGAUGGGACUUUGGCCUGAUCUAGGAGGCUCUUCUCAUGUUCUAUGUGAUUAACUGCCUCAGGUCAACUAUGUGUUAAGAGCACCUCACAGAUUUGGGAACCUUAGCCAUUGAGUCAAAACUUGCAAGAAAACUAAACAUUGAUUAUAUAAUUGAAACAUUUUCUAACAGAAAAGCCCGCAAAGCCCUGUAUAAUGUACUAUAGAUGAAUAGAGCGAUGUUCAGUCAUAAACAGUGUGUUUUAAUUCAAAUGUAUUAACACUACUAAUUAAGUAGUUUAGUAAAGUAGUAGCACUAAAAAUGUUACGUUUAUUUAUUUUCACUUGGGUUUGUAAACAGUGACAUUUUUAAUAAAUGUAUUAACCAUC